This 274-nucleotide ribosomal RNA is filed under the name uncultured bacterium. RNAcentral's name for it is "partial 16S ribosomal RNA". It matches the Rfam family "Bacterial small subunit ribosomal RNA", at positions 523 to 796 of the family's 1533-position model. The record is from RNAcentral.
AUACGGGGGGAGCAAGCGUUGUCCGGAAUCAUUGGGCGUAAAGGGCACGUAGGCGGUUUCUUAAGUCGAAUGUGAAAUCUCACGGCUCAACCGUGAAACUUCGUUCGAAACUAAGUGACUUGAGUUUGGGAGAGGUUUACGGAAUUCCUGGUGUAGCGGUGGAAUGCGUAGAUAUCAGGAAGAACACCAAUGGCGAAGGCAGUACACUGGCCUGAAACUGACGCUGAGGUACGAAAGCGUGGGUAGCAAACAGGAUUAGAAACCCGAGUAGUCC